RNAcentral lists this ribosomal RNA (442 nucleotides) under uncultured bacterium. RNAcentral's name for it is "partial 16S ribosomal RNA". It matches the Rfam family "Bacterial small subunit ribosomal RNA", at positions 338 to 795 of the family's 1533-position model. The record is from RNAcentral.
CCUACGGGAGGCAGCAGUAGGGAAUCUUGCACAAUGGGCGAAAGCCUGAUGGAGCAACGCCGCGUGCAGGAUGAAGGCCUUCGGGGUGUAAACUGCUUUUAUAAGCGAGAAAUAUGAUGGUAACUUAUGAAUAAGGAUCGGCUAAUUACGUGCCAGCAGCCGCGGUUAUACGUAGGAUCCGAGCAUUAUCCGGAGUGACUGGGUGUAAAGAGUUGCGUAGGUGGCAUAAUAAGUAGCUAGUGAAAUCUGGUGGCUCAACCAUUCAGACUAUUAGCUAAACUGUUAGGCUCGAGACCGUUAGGGGUAACUGGAAUUUCUAGUGUAGGAGUGAAAUCCGUAGAUAUUAGUAGGAACACCAAUAGCGUAGGCAGGUUACUGGGACGGUUCUGACACUGAGGCACGAAAGCGUAGGGAGCAAACGGGAUUAGAUACCCCAGUAGUC